CUCGUAGGCGGUUUGUCGCGUCUGCCGUGAAAGUCCGGGGCUCAACUCCGGAUCUGCGGUGGGUACGGGCAGACUAGAGUGAUGUAGGGGAGACUGGAAUUCCUGGUGUAGCGGUGAAAUGCGCAGAUAUCAGGAGGAACACCGAUGGCGAAGGCAGGUCUCUGGGCAUUAACUGACGCUGAGGAGCGAAAGCAUGGGGAGCGAACA
RNAcentral lists this ribosomal RNA (207 nucleotides) under uncultured bacterium. RNAcentral's name for it is "partial 16S ribosomal RNA". It matches the Rfam family "Bacterial small subunit ribosomal RNA", at positions 568 to 774 of the family's 1533-position model. The record is from RNAcentral.